RNAcentral lists this ribosomal RNA (865 nucleotides) under uncultured euryarchaeote. RNAcentral describes it as "bacterial SSU rRNA". It matches the Rfam family "Archaeal small subunit ribosomal RNA", at positions 1 to 879 of the family's 1478-position model. The record is from RNAcentral. Lineage: Archaea; Methanobacteriati; Methanobacteriota.
UUCCGGUUGAUCCCGCCGGAGGCGACCGCUAUUGGAGUUCGAUUAAGCCAUGCGAGUCGAGAGCUUUCGGAGCUCGGCAAACUGCUCAGUAACACGUGGAUAACGUGCCCUGUCACCCGGAAUAACCUCGGGAAACUGAGAACAAGGCCGGAUAGCUCACCAUGCCUGGAACGGUUGGUGGGCCAAGGACAGGAUGGGUCUGCGGCGUAUCAGGUUGUAGGGGGUGUAACGGACCCCCUAGCCAUCGACGCGUACGGGUUGUGGGAGCAAUAGCCCGGAGAUGGAUUCUGGGACACGAAUCCAGACCCUACGGGGUGCAGCAGGCGCGAAAACUCCACACUGCAGGAAACUGUGAUGAGGGAACUCCAAGUGCCAGGGCGUAUAGCCCUGCGUCUGUCGUGAUCUCUUCAAAGGAUCACAAGAAAGGGGCGGGAAAGACCGGUGCCAGCCGCCGCGGUAAUACCGGCGCCUCGAGUGGUCGUCGCUCUUAUUGGGCCUAAAACGUCCGUAGCCGGCUCGGUAAACCCGUGGGUAAAUCAAUCCGCUCAACGGAUUGAAUUCUGCGGAGACUGCCGGGCUAGGGACCGGGAGAGGUACGAGGUACUCUUGGGGUAGGGGUAAAAUCCUGUCAUCCCAAGAGGACCACCUGUUGCGAAGGCGUCGUACUGGAACGGAUCCGACGGUCAGGGACGAAGCCUGGGGGCACGAACCGGAUUAGAUACCCGGGUAGUCCCAGGUGUAAACGCUGUGGACUAGGUGUCGGGGUUCCUUCUGGGGAUCCCGGUGCCGGAGCGAAGGUGUUGAGUCCACUGCCUGGGGAGUACGGUCGCAAGGCUGAAACUUAAAGGAAUUGGCGGGGCAGCAC